Cynara cardunculus var. scolymus (artichoke) is the source of this 3380-nucleotide long non-coding RNA. RefSeq lists it as uncharacterized. The transcript has 4 exons. The record is from RefSeq and is a predicted model, not a curated record. NCBI's taxonomy places the organism in Eukaryota, Viridiplantae, Streptophyta, Magnoliopsida, Asterales, Asteraceae.
GCUCCAUCAUCCUCUUCUCGCCUCCUGUAUCGGUCUAGUUACCUCCCACGGUGGUUGAGACCAUCACCACCGAGGUUCCUAGUCAUCAGCGAGGUAUGACACAAGGUAACUCGACAAAACUCUGGAGGCCGGCGUUGGCAGCGAUUACGGAGGACGGUGUUGCUCGGAGAACUCCGUCUGAUUCUUAUGGUUUUGAUUACAGGUAAAUUCUUCCUUUUGGGAACAUUAUUAUGUGUUUCAAUAUCAAAUAAUUUAUAACAAACCAUGAAAACUGAUUCCGAUUCCGAAAUUUAGUAAAAUUAUGCUAAAUUUCAAUGAUGCUAUGAAACUAACAUAGGUUCCUAGAUUCACACUCAAGUACAUGCUCUAAAUCGUUCCCUGUAAAAAAUGUCACUCAAUCACCAGAAGCCCUAAAUCGUUCACUGUAAGAAAUGUCGCUCAAUCACCAGAAGCCCUAGAUCAUCACCAUCGAUCGUCUAUCAUCGAACAACAAGUACGUCUAUUUACCCAUUUUUCAAAAAAUAUCAAUUGCUCGAACAUGUAAGCUGAAAUCAGUUAAAGAACAAGAAUUUGAAUCAUGCUAUGUUGUUAACAGGUUUAAUUCCAGAAGUUAAUUGAAUCUCUCACUUGAUUGAUUAUUUAAAGUUGCAAUUCGAUUAAUAGUAUAAUGGCUUAAUCUCAUCUGAUGUGCUGUCUGCUUCUGUUGAUUGAGCUUUUGCUGAAUAUUUUCUGUUUGCUUUUAGAGAAAGAGAGAGUAGUCAAUUUAUGCUUGACUGUGAUUUCAUUAUGUUAUCUCCAUGAUUAGUUUAGUUAUCUUGCACAAAUGGUGUAUGUGGGGAUCUGAAUGAUAUGACAGCUUUGGGCUCUAUCUUUUUAUAAAUUUUGAGGGAAAAAGAAAAAAGAGAGGUGUUUAGUUUUUAGGUACCUGACGUUUAGCCAAGCUUUUGACAAGAGCAGGGGAGGCAGUCUUUGAUUUUGACGUUUAGCCAAGUUUAGUAUUUAUCAUAUAAUGGGUUUAGAUUUUGAUUUUCUGCAAAUCCUUGUGAUCAUCGACUUAAAAAACUCUUAUACUUAAGAUUUAACUCAGCCUGUAUACAAGACAAACAACAAUUGUCAUAUGAUUCUGCACCAACCAACUCAUUUGUAAUCAGCAAUUUGAAGCAUGAAUAUAGCCAAAGAACAGCUAGUAGCGCAUACACAUAAUAGUCACAUCCACACAGUGGAACUUUUACCUGUUAUCACAUGAGUAUCAGAAAUCAAGUCCCAGGAUUACUCGUCUUGGUACUAUUCUACCCCAAGUAUGCUUAAUUACAUAAUUCUGAUUACGAUCUGGUGCAUUACCACUACUCUAGCCCAAAUACGCUCAAUUGCAUAAUACUAUAAGAUUCAGUGCAUUAAUAUUGCUACCCAUGUUUUAUCUACUUAAUCUUACCUUAUCAAGGCAAUAACUGCCAAGUUAAAAGGAGGUUAUAGAUUAAAACCCUAUUUUGCCAUUUGAAAUGGGAGUUUGUAGAAGCAUAUAUACAUACAGACCUUAUCUCUGACCCUAGCAAAUGCCAUUUCUGCAUCUCCAUUGAACAGAUGUGUACCUAAAUAGAGGAGCCAAACCAUUUUUAUCUACUUCAUACAUGAUGAAUGGUAAGUUCAAAUAUUAUGCAAAGUUUUUAUGAAAGCAAACAUAAUGCAAUCUUUCUGUUCUUAAUAGAAAGGAUAUUACAUAGAUGCUUGGGAAAGGAUAUAAUCCCAGAAGCAUGACUACAGUGAAAACUCAAACAUGGAAGGAACAAAAAGAUAUGACCAGGUGAUGAUGCCUUGGUGUUGCUCUGCUACCAUGGAUUUGCAUCUGGUAGUUGCAUGAUCAUAGACAAGUUUCUGGUUUGUUUUAAGAUGCAUCUUUUCCACUUCUAGAUUAUCAUGAAGUUGUAGAAAGGGGAGAUGAACAAAUUUACAUGUAUAUUAAGCCUCUCGUAGAUAGAAUCAAGUAAGCAUUAUCCUUCUCAUUUACCGGGUAAGAUACUUGAACCUUGCCUUGCUUUUAACUAGGUAAUAUUCUCACUGUUGUUUACCUAAUAAGCAUUUGUUAAACUGGUCAAACUUAAGUUAUUAGCUUGUUUCAGUGUUAUUUUACCCUGUUGUAUGAUAAAUUAGUGUAAAUGAUCGAUACUACAAUAAGCUACUAAAUUUCAUGUGAUGAUCUAUUCGCAUUGCUUUCACGAUGGCUAGAAAUAUUCAUUCAACACCUGUUAAACGAAAAAGAUCCUGCAAACCAAUGAAAAGGUUCACUUUGUUUAGGAUCUAGAAUAUGUCACAGACCCUUUUCUCAGAAACACGUCUAAAUGAUGUAUCCAUUCAUAAUAAGUGGGACCAAAGCUCAAAUUUUUUGAGCAUAAAACGGAACACAAAAACACUAGGUUACUUGCCUCAAAGUAGCUGAAUCUUUCAACAAGCAUUACCGAUUAUUUUGGUUAAGCCUAUGCAAGAGUACUUCUUUCAUUGUCAUAUGAACUAAGUUUAUGUUAAAGUUGAUGUCCUUUUAUCACUUGCAAUUGGGAACUAAGGUGAUGGUUAGGAUGGCUUUUGCUGAUAUUACGUGUGUUGGUUCGAAAGCUGUGCGAGAAAAGUUCUCUGGCAUCAUCAGAUUUCAGGAGAUAUUGUCUAUGAACAUAAGUUGGUUGAUCUCCAAUACAAGUCGAGGCUAGCAAUAGAAAACGACUGCCCGUACAUUCUAUCAUCACAAGGUACACAAGUGCAUUAUUCACCUUAUCCUUCGAUGACAGAUAAUUUGAAGAACUGGUGGACUGUUGUCAACAUGGAGCCAAGGAGGAUUUAUAAAGUAGCAGAAGGUGCUACUGAAAUAGCUGAUGAUGAUAAUGUGGAUGAAAAACAUUUAUUUCAGGAGAGUGAAAUGUUGCACGGUACAAAAUCUAUCUGUAUAAAUGAGGAUAUUGAACGUGAUUGUCUUGUCACACCGGGACAAUUCAUCGACAUCUAUGACAAUACAAAUAUUAGAGGUUAGUGAUGAAGAAGAAGAGUUUGAAGAUACAAAUGACGAUUUGGAUAAGGAUAAUAAUGAUGAAUUUAUUCUAUCUGACGAGACGUCCGGGAGCGAGACAGCUGACUCACCAGAAGUGGCUUUUCCAAUGGCACAUCAACUUAAUGGAAUAAUUAAGAGCAUGAAACAAAUGCAAGAAUCAGAAAAAGCAAGAGCACUAUAAAGAUAGGGGAUUGUCCGACAAUCCUCUUAUCGGUGAGAUAGAGAUUUUUCGAAAGUUGCAUUAUAGAGAAAAUGAUGGUUAGGUUAAUGACUAUUCUCGCACUUCAUAUGAGAACAUGGUAGAGAUUAAAAGGCAAACUGAAUCAACAGAAAAUCCCCCGGGUGA